AGGAUAUAGUAAUUAUAUGUUUUCAGGCAGGUGAAGACCUCAGCUGCUAUUCUGCAGGACAUACUUUACUGACACCUGGUGCAGAAAAGAAACGAUUGAGUCAAUUUCUACGAGGAAAGACAAUUGUGUUUGAAAAAGUGUGUGUUUAGUUGAAACGCCUUCCUAAAAAAGGAGUAUUAUUAAAGAUCCAGUGAAAUACUCGGAGUUGUGCUGAAAUCAUCUGAAAACAGAAAUCUAUCUCUAUAUAGCAGUCUUUAAAAAAAAAUCUGUUCAAAUAAAACUAUUUAAAAUACA
Pteropus alecto (black flying fox) is the source of this 294-nucleotide long non-coding RNA. RefSeq lists it as uncharacterized. The record is from RefSeq and is a predicted model, not a curated record. NCBI's taxonomy places the organism in Eukaryota, Metazoa, Chordata, Mammalia, Chiroptera, Pteropodidae. The transcript has 2 exons.